GACGAACGCUGGCGGCGUGCUUAACACAUGCAAGUCGAACGGAAAGGCCCUUUGGGGGUCCUCGAGUGGCGAACGGGUGAGUAACACGUGAGUAACCUGCCCUUGACUUCGGGAUAACUUCAGGAAACUGGGGCUAAUACCGGAUAGGAAUCCUUGCUGCAUGGUGGGGGUUGGAAAGCUUCGGCGGUUUUGGAUGGACUCGCGGCUUAUCAGCUUGUUGGUGGGGUAGUGGCUUACCAAGGCUUUGACGGGUAGCCGGCCUGAGAGGGCGACCGGCCACAUUGGGACUGAGAUACGGCCCAGACUCCUACGGGAGGCAGCAGUGGGGAAUAUUGCACAAUGGGCGGAGGCCGGAUGCAGCAACGCCGCGUGCGGGAUGACGGCCUUCGGGUUGUAAACCGCUUUCAGCAGGGGCGAAGCUUGUGGUGACGGUACCUGCAGAAGAAGCACCGGCUAACUACGUG
Molecule: ribosomal RNA, 464 nt
Filed under: uncultured bacterium
Lineage: Bacteria
Description: partial 16S ribosomal RNA
Rfam family: Bacterial small subunit ribosomal RNA
Source: RNAcentral